This is a non-coding RNA of Monodelphis domestica (gray short-tailed opossum), 5343 nucleotides long. The record is from RefSeq and is a predicted model, not a curated record. NCBI's taxonomy places the organism in Eukaryota, Metazoa, Chordata, Mammalia, Didelphimorphia, Didelphidae.
GAACAGAGAAUGUCAGAGCUGGGAGAGAGCUUAGAACAGAGAAUGUCAGAGCUGGGAGAGACCUUAGAACAGAGAAUGUCAGAGCUGGGAGAGACCUUAGAACAGAGAAUGUCAGAGCUGGGAGGGACCUUAGAAUAGAGACUGUCAGAGCUGGGAGAGACCUUAGAACAGAGAAUGUCAGAGCUGGGAGAGAGCUUAGAAGAGAGAAUGUCAGAGCUGGGAGAGACCUUAGAACAGAGAAUGUCAGAGCUGGGAGGGAGCUUAGAACAGAGACUGUCAGAGCUGGGAAAGAGCUUAGAACAGGGAAUGGCAGAGCUGGGAGAGAGCUUAGAACAGGGAAUGUCAGGACUGGGAAGGAGCUUAGAACCCAGAAGGUCAGAGCUGCACAGGGAAGGCAGAACCUAGAACGUUAGAAGGGAGCUGAAAUGGAGGCGACCCUGCCGAGGAGGCCUCUCGGUGCCUGCGUGGUGGGGGCUGUUCCCCAGUCACCCGCCCUCUGUGGUUACCGUCGUGGCUGCUGGUGAGCGAGCCUGCUUGUUGUUCCAUUAGGGCUGGCUGUAAUGGAAUCGGCUGCCCUGGUUGAGCAUUUGUAUUAAAUUAAUAUCGCCUCCACAGAGACAAUCAGUUGGCAUUUAAUUUUCCUUUCCUUCAGAGAGUGGCUCGAGCAGCCAGGUGUAGCAGGCUGGGCAGCGGGUCAGGGCCUUGGGCAGGCUGGGCAGUGGGGAGAGGAGGCUUUGGGGUGGGGUGGUUUUGAGCGAUUUCUACAAAGGCAGUGGAGUGGGUUUCUGGUCUGGUCGGGGAGGCCCGACGUAGGGGCACCUUAGAGAAGAAUCCCCUCCGCUCUGCGGCAUCGGCCCUGGCGGAGGUCGAGGAAGAGGGGGCGGCUGCCCCUCGGGCCCCCUUGCAGUCCUGAGGGCCCUCCCAGGAGCUCUAUUUAGAAGGCACUUGGGAAAACUCGAGCGGCUCCAGAGACAUGCUGGCAGAAGAGUGCCCUGAUCAGGGCAGAAUUAGUUAAUCAAAGAUUUGGAGGAGACCUCAAAGGCCGACCCAGGGAGGGGCAUCCAAGGCCCAUGUUAGCCAAUUCCGGAUUAGGAGGCAGAUGAAAUGGCAGAGGAGGGGGGGGGGGGGAUUAGACUGAGUAAUCUGCGAGUCCCGGCGAUGGGCUCCAACAUGCCGUCAGGCCCACUCCCACUCUCCUGAGCCCUGGCACACCUAGCCUGUGGAGCCCAGCAGGGGAAUGAGCUCCCCGAAACCAGAAAAGGGUGCGCUCUGAAGAGGCUGCCAGGAGAAAAAUCAGGGAGCCAAAUCACCAGCAUGCCAGCUCCUCUGCCUCCUCACCCCCACCCCUUCCCUCCAGCACCCUUUCUAUCCCCAGACACCCCCAAAUCAGGCUCUGAGGCACAAUUUUUCUAAUAUUUGUUUGGCAGCUUCAGUAGGUCUAAGGACCCCACUCUUUGGGGUCUUCCUCCCCUCGGAGAGGAUGCCAGGCUGGUAUAAGGCUUGUAGAGGAAAGGCCCUUCAUUUGGGGGUUUCUCAGGAGUUCUGGGUUCUAUUCCUGCCUCUCCUGCUAAAGCAUCAGAAACUUCGUCUUCCUCUUUGACUUAAGUAUUCAUUCUCAUCUGUACUGUGAUGACCUCCUACCUGCUUCCCAGCUCUGACAGUCUGAGUUUGAGACUUCCUCCCAGCUCUGACAUUCCCUGUUCUAAACUCUCUCCCAGCUCUGACAUUCUCUGUUCUAAGGUCUCUCCCAGCUCUGACAUUCUCUGUUCUAAGGUUCUCCCAGCUCUGACAUUCUCUGUUCUAAGGUCUCUCCCAGCUCUGACAUUCUCUGUUCUAAGGUCUCUCCCAGCUCUGACAGUUUCUGUUCUAAGGUCUCUCCCAGCUCUGGCAUUCUCUGUUCUAAGGUCUCUCCCAGCUCUGACAGUCUCUGUUCUAAGCUCUCUCCCAGCUGUGACAUUCUCUGUUCUAAGGUCCCUCCCAGCUGUGACAUUCUCUGUUCUAAGGUCUCUCCCAGCUCUGACCUUCUCUGUUCUAAGCUCUCUCCCAGCUCUGACAUUCUUGGUUCUAAGCUCUCUCCCAGCUCUGACAGUCUCUGUUCUAAGGUCUCUCCCAGCUUUGACAGUCUCUGUUCUAAGCUCUCUCCCAGCUGUGACAUUCUCUGUUCUAAGGUCUCUCCCAGCUCUGACAUUCUCUGUUCUAAGGUCUCUCCCAGCUCUGACAGUCUCUGUUCUAAGGUCUCUCCCAGCUCUGACAUUCCCUGUUCUAAGGUCUCUCCCAGCCCUGACAUUCUCUGUUCUAAGGUCUCUCCCAGCUCUGACAUUCUCUGUUCUAAGCUCUCUCCCAGCUCUGACAUUCUCUGUUCUAAGGUCUCUCCCAGCUCUGACAUUCUCUGUUCUAAGGUCUCUCCCAGCUCUGACAUUCUCUGUUCUAAGGUCUCUCCCAGCUCUGACAUUCUCUGUUCUAAGCUCUCUCCCAGCUCUGACAUUCUCUGUUCUAAGCUCUCUCCCAGCUCUGACAUUCUCUGUUCUAAGGUCUCUCCCAGCUCUGACCUUCUCUGUUCUAAGCUCUCUCCCAGCUCUGACAUUCUUGGUUCUAAGCUCUCUCCCAGCUCUGACAGUCUCUGUUCUAAGGUCUCUCCCAGCUUUGACAGUCUCUGUUCUAAGCUCUCUCCCAGCUGUGACAUUCUCUGUUCUAAGGUCUCUCCCAGUUCUGACAUUCCCUGUUCUAAGGUCUCUCCCAGCUCUGACAUUCUCUGUUCUAAGGUCUCUCCCAGCUCUGACAUUCUCCGUUCUAAGGGCUCUCCCAGCUCUGACAUUCUCUGUUCUAAGGUCUCUCCCAGCUCUGACAUUCCCUGUUCUAAGCUGUCUCCCAGCUCUGACAUUCUGGGUUCCGAUGACUUGGUCUCCAGCCCCAUGUCUGCCUGCAAGAAUUCACAAUGCUCAGGAGUCUGGACAGACUAGACCCGGGUGGCUUUGAAUUCUGGCCCUGUGCCCACUGCUGUGUUGUGGAACAUAGACUUAGCUUUACGGUACACGGAGUGCUAGCCUUGGAUUUAGGAAGACUGAUUUAAAAUGUGGCUCUGACCUUUACUAAGCCCUGUGACUUUGAGCAAGUCUUUUAACUUCUGUCUGCCUCAGUUCCCUCAUCUGUAAAAGGGGGAUAAUAUUGGCAUCAGCCUCUCAGGAUUGUCAUAAGAUCAAGGGAGAUAUUGUUUGUAAAGCACUUAGAACAGUGUGUGGCACAUAGUGAGUGCUAGAGAAAUACUGGUAUUAGAUUGAAUUGCUUGUCAGCUCUGGGAGUCGUAGGGAGGGAGACAAUUUGGAUUAUAUAAGUUCAGAAAACUCACAUGGAUAUUUGUUAUUACAUGUAAUUGGUAAAAUAUCUUUAUAAUGAAACCUAAAUUAAAAAAGAAAUAGUGGUAUCCCUUCUGCAUCCCAGAGGAGGGGGAGCAGCGUAUUUCUGCUUCCCUGACCUGGAAAAUUCGGGUAAAAGUUUUUAACUUUCCCUUCAUACCAGAGAAGAAAUUAGAUUUCUUUCUUUUUCUUUUAUGGGGCAUUUACAGUAAAAUAAAUUUAUAGGGGGCAGCUAGUGGAUGGAGAACCAGGCCUAGAGACGGGAGGUCCUGGGUUCAAAUUUGACCUCAGACACUUACUAGCUGUGUGACCCUGGGCAAGUCACUUGACCCCCAUUGCCUAGCCCUGACCACUCUUCUGCCUUGGAGCCAAUACACAGUACUGAUUCCAAGACCGAAGGUGAGGGUUAAAAAAAAAAAGAAAGAAAUUGUAUAUAUCUAAGGUAUUCAAAGCCUGAAUCAAAAUGUUUAUCAGAAGAUAAAAUGUGUUGAUAUUAUAUAAUAGCAUACAUAUAGUUUAUGUAUUUCUGAAUUUCUCAUUUUUGUGUGUGUGUCAUCUGUGGCUUCUGACAAUCUCCCUCCCAAUUCCCACUUAUUUUCUUGUGCUGCCCCGCCAUGGGGAAAGUCCCUGCCUGGAAGAGAUAUGUGUCCUAGCUUUCGUUAUUAUGAUUGUGGCUACAAGGGAGCCUUCCUCCGACUUCAGUAGCCAAAGGUCAUCCCUGGUCCGUGGAGGAGAGAAGUGGCCGCUCCCUCGAGAGCUCUGUCAUUGGGUUGGAGGGGAGUUUGGGCCUCCCCUGGGGAAUUGCUAAAAGAGCGCCAUGUAUAUAGUCCAAGCUACCUCCCAGAGAGUGUAGGAGCUGAGAGGGUUGGACCUUGGGAGAAGCUUCAGCCUGAGCCCCGUCGCAAACUUGGGGUGAAUAGGAAGAGAGAAUGGAGGCAGCGGAGGCCCCCAGGUCUGGCAGGGGCCUUUGGGGGGGCAGCUGUCAUGGGCUGGAUCUUGGAGUCCAGCCUGGAGAAGUCUGAAUAAUAGAAGAGAAGGCUGAAGGGGUGGCUUUGGCCUAGAGGAGCCAGAGGAGGAGGAGCUGCUUUGUCUUCCCCAGCACCCUGGCGAGAGAUCACUUUGCAGCCCUGUUUGCUUGGCUUUGAAGCUCUAAGGUGGGGGCUCUGAGGGGAGGGAAGCAGAAAAUUUGUGCCUCUGAACAGGAAAUUCCAGCCUUUCAGAUUCUUGCCUGGGCUAAAAGGGAGACUGUGGGUUCCCCAAAGAAUAGAAUAUACUUAAGAAAGUUAGAACAGAGGGUGUCAGCGCUGGGAGGGACUGUAGAAUCCAAGGUGUCAGGCGCCGGGGUCCCUCCAGAUGUGCCACAGGCCCCCUCGACUGGCUUGUGAAAUCCACUAUACUGAUUCUAAGACAAAAGGUGAGAGUUUUAAAAAUCCGUGGAUCCCACCGUAUGAUCUGAGCUAGUCUCUCCCACCUUGAAGCCCGAGGGAAUAAAAUGACUUGUCUAAGGUCAGCCAAACAGUAGCAGCGAUGAGAUUAGAAUUUAAAUGUUGGGACCCCAAAUCCAGUCUUUCUGCUGUUACAGAGAUGGUUCUGAUUCCCAACUGAAAGCCUUUGGGGGCUGGGCCCAAUUGAGGGCUCUAUAACAAUCUUCUGGCCUGGCCUCCAUAUUUCUCUUGACCUAGGGUCCCUGGAAUUCUUUUAAGGGCAGGAUGUGAAAAAUGCAUGAGUCAACUGCGAUGACUUCAGCAUGGAUUUCCUGGCUUCUGCAGGCUCUGCUUUGUCAGCCUCUUCUCUCCAGACCCAUGUCUCAUAGAGCCCCACAAGGUUGUCUUUUGGAGGGGAAGAGGCAUGUAUGGGAGGAGGAGCUCACUAAACGCAUGAACCUAGAGACCAUGGUGGAGACGCUCCAAGAGGCGGCCCAAGAAGCAGAGGCUAUCCAGGAGGAGAUGAACGAGAAGAUUGAGCGGCUGAAGGCUGAGCUGGUGGUGUU